Molecule: unclassified non-coding RNA, 275 nt
Filed under: Hevea brasiliensis (rubber tree)
Lineage: Eukaryota; Viridiplantae; Streptophyta; Magnoliopsida; Malpighiales; Euphorbiaceae
Source: RNAcentral
GAUGUGUUUACCGGCGACGCCGUUUUCCGGCGAAGUACCGCCGGCUGGACAGACAUCCGAGCUGGGGUUCGAAUUCAAUUUCUAAGUUCAUAAACUGGACCCGCCGUCUCAAAACGAGAGCUAAGGCUAUUUGCAGCAAGGGUAAUUGUUCCGGGUCGGGUCGGGGUUACAUACAUGUCGGGCAAGACCCGAUUAAAGAGGAAAGUGUGCCGAAAGGUCACUUGGCGGUUUAUGUGGGUCGGAAAGACGGUGAUUAUAAACGGGUUUUGGUACCG